RNA transcript from Sander lucioperca (pikeperch), 2936 nucleotides. It is a transcript of the gene named calpain-5-like, with no coding region annotated. The record is from RefSeq and is a predicted model, not a curated record. The transcript has 14 exons. Lineage: Eukaryota; Metazoa; Chordata; Actinopteri; Perciformes; Percidae.
CUUGUCAGACCGGUUUUCAGGCAGUUGUUGUGUGCAAAUCAAUGUGUUUUGGGGAAGUCCUCGUAGCCAGAAGUUGAAACUCAAGAAACUGGAUUUGGUUCUAUAAAAGGUUUAACAGAUUGUUGUUGUAUGUAACAUAUCUUAUAAGAGAAAUGUGGGAUUGAUUUGAACACAUCUCAGGAGCCAGAGGACAUUGGAUGUGUUUAAGCUCAUCACUGCAAGGAUAAGACAGCUUACCACAGCUGUGAGGCUUCAGUGUCUGGACCAUGUUCUCCUCUGCUGUCCAGUACAAAAACCAGCACUACUCUGACCUGAAGAGGGAUUGCAUCAACGACAAGACGCUGUUUGAGGAUCCAGAGUUCCCAGCCAUCAAUGCAUCUCUGUAUUUUAGGAAACCACCUCCUGGUCGUGUGGAGUGGAAACGGCCAAAGGAGAUAUGCAAUGAGCCCCGUCUGUUUGUGGAUGGCAUCAGCUCCCAUGACCUGAACCAGGGAAUUGUGGGAAACUGCUGGUUUGUUGCUGCCUGCUCCUGUCUGGCUUUGAAGCCAAACCUCUGGAAGAAGGUUAUUCCUGACUAUAAGGAGCAGGAGUGGGAUCACAAACAACCGGAGCGGUAUGCUGGAAUCUUCCACUUUCAGUUCUGGGUGUUUGGAGAAUGGGUGGAUGUGGUGGUAGACGACCUGCUGCCUACAAUCAACGGUGAACUCAUCUACUGUCACUCGAAAGACAACAACGAAUUCUGGAGUGCGCUGCUGGAGAAGGCCUACGCCAAGCUCCAUGGCUGCUAUGAGUCCCUGGAGGGGGGAAACACCGGAGAUGCUGUGGUGGAUUUCAGUGGAUGUGUGGUUGAAGCCAUCAACCUGGAGAAAGAAGCUUUCUACAAGGACCCAAAAAAACAGGACCAGUUGUUUGAGGAUCUGCUAAAGGUCUACGACCAGGGAGGAAUCAUUAGCUGCUCCAUUAGGGCACAGCCUCAUGAGAUUGAACACAAGAUGGCAAACGGACUGGUGAAAGGCCACGCAUACUCAGUAACUGCAGUGAAGAAAGUGCGUUUGGGUCACGGGCUGCUGGCCUACUUCAAGAAUGAAACCAUUUCUCUGAUCCGCAUGAGGAACCCCUGGGGCAAGACAGAGUGGAAGGGAGCCUGGAGUGACAGCUCUGAGGAAUGGUCGAAGGUUGGGGAUACGGAGAGGCGCAACCUUGGCAUUGUAGUAGAGGAUGAUGGGGAGUUCUGGAUGUCAUUCACAGACUGGUGCAAGUUCUACGAAGAUGCAGAUGUUUGCCGUCUUCUCAAUACUUCGCUGAUCAGUGUCCAUAAGACGUGGAACGAGGUUGUGCACUUUGGGAGCUGGACCAAACACGCAGAGCCGCUUUUAAACCGCUGCGGUGGCUGUGCCAACCACAAGUCGACAUUCCUACAGAACCCACAGUACUUGUUUGAUGUUACAAAGGAGGCUGACGAGGUUCUAAUCACCUUGCAACAGAAAGACAUGAAGAUCAACAGACAAUUUGGUCAAGGAGAAAAUCUAAGCAUCGGCUUCGGUGUCUUCAAGGUGGAACUGAACAGGAAGUAUCGGAUGCAUGACAUCCUGACCCAACAAUGUGUGAACACAUCCACCUACAUCAAUGCUCGGACAGUGUUUAUGAGAUGCACGCUCCAACAGGGCCGCUACGUCAUCAUCCCCACCACCUUUGAGCCUUACAAGCUGGGGGAUUACAUGAUCCGAGUUUUCACCGAUGUGGAAUCAGGCUGCAGGGAGUUGACAGAGGAUAAGCCGAGGGUAAAAUGCUGGAGUUCAUUCCUUGGAUACCCACAAGCUGUGACUCACGUCUACGUCCACGGAGCUGAGGAGCUGCAGAAGCAGGACAAUACAGGAGGUGCAGACCCUUAUGUGAUUAUAAAUUGUGAGGGCCGGACGGUUCGAUCCACCAUCAAGAAGGACACCCUGCAACCAGAGUUUAUGACCAGCGCCAUUUUCUACAGGAAGAAGCCCAGAAAUCCCAUAACUGUGGAGGUAUGGAACAGCAACGCAGUGAAGGAUGAGUUUAUGGGCCAUGUGGUGUUGUCCGGGUCGGUGAAGGACUCCUCUGGCCCUCAGAGGCUUCAGCUGUUGAAGCGAGGACGGAAAACAGCUGAUGAGAUGCCCGGUAAAAUCAGUCUGAGGAUCAUCACUUCUACUGAGCUGACCGCCAUGUGAUCUCGCCAUUGAAUUGAGAGAGGGCUGGAUCUCUUUCAUUGCUGAACAAUGUGGUGAACAUCUUACUUGGCAUGUGCCAUCAUCAAAGCACCAGGCCCGUGGAUGUCCCUGGUUGUGUGAAUUUACAUAAUUAUUUGCACAUUGGUGAAUUGUUUGCAAAGUUGAGAGGUGAACAGGGCACCAUUGUACCGACUGAAUGUCAGUUCCUGUCAUUUUUAUCUAAAGGUUUAAUCUUUUGAAUGACCCUUAUUACUUUUUAAAUCAUCCCUGUGUAACUUAUAAAAUAUUUUUAUAUUGGUGUUUUUUGUAAAGUUAUUCUUUUUUAUGUCCACUAUAUAGACCGAUAUGGCAGUAAUUUGUCAUUCAAGUCUUAACAUGCGUUAUAAUUUUGCCCAAACUUACAGCAUGUACAACACAUAAUGUAUCAUCUAUUUCUAUAAUUCAUAACAUGCUCCUUUCUUUUGUCCGUUCAUAUCAUCAUGUUUCAUUGUCAUGAUUAUUAAGAAAAUGCAAGACACUGAAUGGCAUAAAGAAUUAUAAGAAAUCCAACCUAAGAAUCACAAUAGACUACAAUCAUUAGCACAACUCUGGUUUUCUUCUUCUUUUUAUUUCAGUCCAGUUCCAAAACUGCAAUAUUUUGUUUGUUUUUUUUACACUCAAGACACAGCCAUGCACAAUUCAAAGUUCAAAAAGUCUAUUGCUUCAACCACAAAUAAAAAUAGUUUAUCCAAAACCUCA